UUAAAAUGAGAGUUUGAUCCUGGCUCAGGACGAACGCUGGCGGCGUGCCUAAUACAUGCAAGUCGAACGAAACUUUCUUACACCGAAUGCUUGCAUUCACCGUAAGAAGUUGAGUGGCGGACGGGUGAGUAACACGUGGGUAACCUGCCUAAAAGAAGGGGAUAACACUUGGAAACAGGUGCUAAUACCGUAUAUCUCUAAGGAUCGCAUGAUUCUUAGAUGAAAGAUGGUUCUGCUGUCGCUUUUAGAUGGACCCGCGGCGUAUUAACUAGUUGGUGGGGUAACGGCCUACCAAGGUGAUGAUACGUAGCCGAACUGAGAGGUUGAUCGGCCACAUUGGGACUGAGACACGGCCCAAACUCCUACGGGAGGCAGCAGUAGGGAAUCUUCCACAAUGGACGCAAGUCUGAUGGAGCAACGCCGCGUGAGUGAAGAAGGUCUUCGGAUCGUAAAACUCUGUUGUUAGAGAAGAACACGAGUGAGAGUAACUGUUCAUUCGAUGACGGUAUCUAACCAGCAAGUCACGGCUAACUACGUGCCAGCAGCCGCGGUA
Molecule: ribosomal RNA, 553 nt
Filed under: Ligilactobacillus salivarius
Lineage: Bacteria; Bacillati; Bacillota; Bacilli; Lactobacillales; Lactobacillaceae
Description: bacterial SSU rRNA
Rfam family: Bacterial small subunit ribosomal RNA
Source: RNAcentral